GACGAACGCUGGCGGCGUGCUUAACACAUGCAAGUCGAACGGAAAGGCCCUGCUUGCAGGGUACUCGAGUGGCGAACGGGUGAGUAACACGUGGGUGAUCUGCCCUGCACUUCGGGAUAAGCUUGGGAAACUGGGUCUAAUACCGGAUAGGAGCCAUCUUUAGUGUGGUGGUUGGAAAGUUUUUUCGGUGUAGGAUGAGCUCGCGGCCUAUCAGCUUGUUGGUGGGGUAAUGGCCUACCAAGGCGGCGACGGGUAGCCGGCCUGAGAGGGUGUACGGCCACAUUGGGACUGAGAUACGGCCCAGACUCCUACGGGAGGCAGCAGUGGGGAAUAUUGCACAAUGGGCGCAAGCCUGAUGCAGCGACGCCGCGUGGGGGAUGAAGGCCUUCGGGUUGUAAACUCCUUUCGCUAGGGACGAAGCUUUGUUGUGACGGUACCUAGAUAAGAAGCACCGGCUAACUACGUG
This 466-nucleotide ribosomal RNA is filed under the name uncultured bacterium. Its description in RNAcentral is "partial 16S ribosomal RNA". It matches the Rfam family "Bacterial small subunit ribosomal RNA", at positions 28 to 507 of the family's 1533-position model. The record is from RNAcentral.